GCCAGUGGGGGGUCUAUACAUGCAAGUAGAACGCUGAAGAGAGGAGCUUGCUCUUCUUGGAUGAGUUGCGAACGGGUGAGUAACGCGUAGGUAACCUGCCUUGUAGCGGGGGAUAACUAUUGGAAACGAUAGCUAAUACCGCAUAACAAUGGAUGACACAUGUCAUUUAUUUGAAAGGGGCAAUUGCUCCACUACAAGAUGGACCUGCGUUGUAUUAGCUAGUAGGUGAGGUAAUGGCUCACCUAGGCGACGAUACAUAGCCGACCUGAGAGGGUGAUCGGCCACACUGGGACUGAGACACGGCCCAGACUCCUACGGGAGGCAGCAGUAGGGAAUCUUCGGCAAUGGGGGCAACCCUGACCGAGCAACGCCGCGUGAGUGAAGAAGGUUUUCGGAUCGUAAAGCUCUGUUGUAAGUCAAGAACGGGUGUGAGAGUGGAAAGUUCACACUGUGACGGUAGCUUACCAGAAAGGGACGGCUAACUACGUGCCAGCAGCCGCGGUAAUACGUAGGUCCCGAGCGUUGUCCGGAUUUAUUGGGCGUAAAGCGAGCGCAGGCGGUUUGAUAAGUCUGAAGUUAAAGGCUGUGGCUCAACCAUAGUUCGCUUUGGAAACUGUCAAACUUGAGUGCAGAAGGGGAGAGUGGAAUUCCAUGUGUAGCGGUGAAAUGCGUAGAUAUAUGGAGGAACACCGGUGGCGAAAGCGGCUCUCUGGUCUGUAACUGACGCUGAGGCUCGAAAGCGUGGGGAGCGAACAGGAUUAGAUACCCUGGUAGUCCACGCCGUAAACGAUGAGUGCUAGGUGUUGGAUCCUUUCCGGGAUUCAGUGCCGCAGCUAACGCAUUAAGCACUCCGCCUGGGGAGUACGACCGCAAGGUUGAAACUCAAAGGAAUUGACGGGGGCCCGCACAAGCGGUGGAGCAUGUGGUUUAAUUCGAAGCAACGCGAAGAACCUUACCAGGUCUUGACAUCCCGAUGCUAUUUCUAGAGAUAGAAAGUUACUUCGGUACAUCGGUGACAGGUGGUGCAUGGUUGUCGUCAGCUCGUGUCGUGAGAUGUUGGGUUAAGUCCCGCAACGAGCGCAACCCCUAUUGUUAGUUGCCAUCAUUCAGUUGGGCACUCUAGCGAGACUGCCGGUAAUAAACCGGAGGAAGGUGGGGAUGACGUCAAAUCAUCAUGCCCCUUAUGACCUGGGCUACACACGUGCUACAAUGGUUGGUACAACGAGUUGCGAGUCGGUGACGGCGAGCUAAUCUCUUAAAGCCAAUCUCAGUUCGGAUUGUAGGCUGCAACUCGCCUACAUGAAGUCGGAAUCGCUAGUAAUCGCGGAUCAGCACGCCGCGGUGAAUACGUUCCCGGGCCUUGUACACACCGCCCGUCACACCACGAGAGUUUGUAACACCCGAAGUCGGUGAGGUAACCUUUGGAGCCAGCCGCUAAGUGACAAAUUU
Molecule: ribosomal RNA, 1449 nt
Filed under: Streptococcus thermophilus
Lineage: Bacteria; Bacillati; Bacillota; Bacilli; Lactobacillales; Streptococcaceae
Description: bacterial SSU rRNA
Rfam family: Bacterial small subunit ribosomal RNA
Source: RNAcentral